AACAAAAAGAACGCCACAGUGAGAGCAAUCACGUCGGGUGUUCUGUCAUCGGUAUUCCCAAGCAAACGGUCCACCUGAGUGGAUAAAUAGAUCAUGAAGAGUCCUAGUAUAUACUGUGUCGGGACAAGCCAAGAUUUGCGACGACCGAAGUUCUUAACGUAGACCGCAUCAACCAACGGGGCCCAGAGUAAUUUGAGACUGAAGGGCCAAAAGACAAAACUGAAGAAAGCUUGGUCUGUAUAGCUAACAUUUUUGCUUUGCAAAAUGAGUGGGAUGCUUCCCGCCAAGCCCAGGGGAAUACCCUGAAGCACGUAAAGAAAGAGUAGUAGCAAAAUGCUGCUUAGUUCGGCCCGGAAGCUCUGUGGGGCUUUUAAGAAGUCGCCAGUGCCGGUAUCCCCCAGAAGAGCUUCUCUGUCCCCUUCCCGGCCCGCUGAGUCCAAAUGACUGUCAUCCCAACCGCCUGGCGGCAGGGGACCGCUCUUCAUAUCCAGAGAGUGACUGAAAUUCCCUGGCCGCCGUUGCCGGCUGCUGUCCUUGUGGGAGAUGGUGGGUGACAUAUCAGAGACGAUGCAGAGCCCCGUCUGUGGGGGGCCGAGGCUGAGCGUUUUGGAUCCGUCCAGUCCCAGGUCCAAGGCUGUCGCGCUGGACCAGGGUUUCGGUGGUUCAC
This 667-nucleotide long non-coding RNA is filed under the name Homo sapiens (human). RNAcentral describes it as "HSALNT0062691". Lineage: Eukaryota; Metazoa; Chordata; Mammalia; Primates; Hominidae. The record is from RNAcentral.